AAAAUUAUUACAAUGCCAAUUUAAAGUUCAGUUAUACAAACAAGUUCAAGUCAAACAAUAUGAAUUACAGGGUUCCAAUUCAGCAAACUACAAUAGCAAACCACGAUCGCACUUACAACCUCUGAGAAUUGACCUGACGACUGACUAACCACGGGCCUUGUCCGAAGGGCUUGAUCCACAGAAGUUGUCCACGAACAAUCCUUCGUCGAAGCUCAAGUUGGGCAGAGGUUUUGGAAUCCUGGCCGUGAGCCAGAUAUUUUCCACCUUGGUCAAGGGUCCUUUUAUAGGCUUUCCUAGCGUUAUUUGCACGCCACCUUUACUUGCCGGGCAAGUGACUUCAUGGUCAAGGAAGAUAUCGGGUCCAUCGAUUGCAGCCGCUUCAUCCGAACCGUCAGCCUUCCCAUUGUUCUUUAUCAUGGACUGUGUCAUCUUUGCCGUCAUUUAACCUCGCAUAAAACCACGGAAACGCAUUAGACUGAUAUUUUUAAGGUUCUGCAAGGAUUCGCAUAUUAAGCUUGGCAACCACAUAGAAUUCUAUAUACAGAAAGCUUAACAUUUUGUGCAAUAUGAAUAUAUCAAUACAACAAGUUCAUAGCAAGAGAUAAAUUGACAUAAUACAUUUCUCAUUUAAUGCUCAGGUUG
This 642-nucleotide unclassified non-coding RNA is filed under the name Hevea brasiliensis (rubber tree). Lineage: Eukaryota; Viridiplantae; Streptophyta; Magnoliopsida; Malpighiales; Euphorbiaceae. The record is from RNAcentral.